GAAUUUAGUGAAUCAUCGAAUCUUUGAACGCAAAUGGCGCUCCUGGGUCCUCCCAGGAGCACGUCUGUCUGAGCGUCGUUUCUCACAUCCAAUACUCCUUUAUUGUGUGUAUUGGGCAAUGAGGUGUCCCUUUACUGUACUGUAAUCGGUCCCUUGAAGUAGAGCGAUCCCCGAGCUGUAGCAUGUGCCCUAGCGGGUCAGCUCCUCGGCGUGAUAGUGAGUUUUCUUUCUAACGCGUCAGAGAAGUUGUCCAUAACGUUACGUGGUAUCAUACUCGAUUCGGUUGAGAUUGAUGGAUACGGCAAGUGUACGUGUAUAUUUUAUAUAUGUGUUUACUUGAGACCAACCAAGACCUCAGAUCAGGCGAGACUACCCGCUGAACUUAAGCAUAUCAAUAAGCGGAGGAAAAGAAACUAACCAGGAUUCCCUUAGUAAUGGCGAACGAACAGGGAACAGCUCAAAUUUUAAAUCUCGGUCGCUUGCGAUCGCGAAUUGUAGUUUCCAGAAACGUUAUCCCCACCGCGGUGACCGGUCCAAGUUGCUUGGAACAGCAUAUCAGAGAGGGUGAGAAUCCCGUUUCUGGCCGGUCCUUCGGUGGCACGAGGCGUUUUCGAAGAGUCGGGUUGUUUGGGAUUGCAGCCCAAAAUGCGUGGUAAACCCCACGUAAAGCUAAAUAUUGGCACGAGACCGAUAGCGAACAAGUACCAUGAGGGAAAGAUGAAAAGCACUUUGAAAAGAGAGUUAAACAGUACGUGAAACCGUUAAAAGGGAAACGAAUGGAGCCAGCAAGGCAUCCUGUUUGAUUCAGCCGGUGGCCGGUAGCCCCCGUCCUACAGUGAUCUUCGGACUCAUGUGGGAGACGGCGUUGCUGGUUGCCGUGUGCACUUAUUCAGGAUGCGUGCCAACUUGGCUUGGUGACGGUCAACACGGUCGUAUGGGAAGGUAGCUCUCCUCGGGGAGUAUUAUAGCCCUUCGUCCCGGAUCGUCGCCGAGUGAGGUGUUGCGGUACGUGCCUCUUUUGGCUUGGGCCUCGUUGGUGGUCUGUCACGCCUAGUGUUGACUGCACGCAGUGAGCAUUGGGUCGAUGGCCGGCUGCCGGUGGGUGUCCCGUACACGUGCCUAGGAAGUUGGCGUGCAAAUGGCUUCAUCCGACCCGUCUUGAAACACGGACCAAGGAGUCUGACGUGUGCGCGAGUCUCAGAGUGGCAAACUCUAGGGCGCAACGAAAGUGAAUUUAGGUGAGAUCCUCACUUCGGUGAGGCGCAUCAUCGGCCGGCAAGGUUCACAUGUGAACAUGUCCGAGCAAGAGCGUACCCGUCGGGACCCGAAAGAUGGUGAACUAUGCCUGAGUAGGGCGAAGCCAGGGGAAACCCUGGUGGAGGCUCGUAGCGGUUCUGACGUGCAAAUCGAUCGUCAAACUUGGGUAUAGGGGCGAAAGACUAAUCGAACCAUCUAGUAGCUGGUUCCCUCCGAAGUUUCCCUCAGGAUAGCAGGAGCUCAUGCCCAGUUUUAUCAGGUAAAGCGAAUGAUUAGAGGCCUUAGGGAUGAAACAUCCUUAACCUAUUCUCAAACUUUAAAUGGGUAAGACGUCCGACUUGCUUAAUUGAAGCCGGGCCACGAAUGGGAGUUCCUAGUGGGCCAUUUUUGGUAAGCAGAACUGGCGAUGCGGGAUGAACCGAACGUUUGGUUAAGGCGCCUAAAUCGACGCUCAUCAGAUCCCACAAAAGGUGUUGGUUGAUAUAGACAGCAGGACGGUGGCCAUGGAAGUCGGAAUCCGCUAAGGAGUGUGUAACAACUCACCUGCCGAAUCAACCAGCCCUGAAAAUGGAUGGCGCUCAAGCGUCGUGCCUAUACCGGACCGUUCGAGCAAAUGCGAAGCUCGAACGAGUAGGAGGGCGUGGGGGUCGUGAAGAAGCCUCUGGCGUGAGCCUGGGUCGAACGGCCUCUAGUGCAGAUCUUGGUGGUAGUAGCAAAUAUUCAAAUGAGAACUUUGAAGGCCGACGUGGAGAAGGGUUCCAUAUGAACAGCAGUUGGAUGUGGGUUAGUCGAUCCUAAGAGAUAGGGAAACUCCGUUUUAAAGUGUCCGAUGCGCGACUUUCGUCAAGCCGGACCGCCUAUCGAAAGGGAAUCGGGUUAAUAUUCCCGAACCGGAACGAGGGGAUUCUGUCUUUCGGGGCAGAGAUGCGGUAACGCAAACGAACUGGGAGACGUCAGCCGGGAGCGGGAGCAGAGUUCUCUUUUCUGUUUAACAGACAGUCACCAUGGAAUGGGAUUAUCCCGAGAUAUGGUUCAGUGUCUGGUAAAGCACCGCGCCUCUUGUGGUGUUCCCUGCCUUCCGGAUGGCCCUUGAAAAUCCCAGGGAGAGAGUAAACUUCUUGUCCGGUCGUACCCAUAACCGUUUAUCCCGAGAUAUGGUUCAGUGUCUGGUAAAGCACCGCGCCUCUUGUGGAGUAAACUUCUUGUCCGGUCGUACCCAUAACCGCAGCAGCCUCUGGUCGAUAGAACAAUGUAGGUAAGGGAAGUCGGCAAAAUAGAUCCGUAACUUCGGGAAAAGGAUUGGCUCUAAGGGUUGGGUCUGUCGGGCUGCAGCUAAAGACUUGGAGGCCUUAGGCGGACUGUCCAGGAUCCGGUUAACACUGGGACUUGGAUGGACCGUCUUCGGCAUCCAGGAAGACGGUUGCAGCUUUGUCUUCGGACUCUUCGGCAGACAACUAACAACCAACUUAGAACUGGUACGGACAAGGGGAAUCCGACUGUUUAAUUAAGACAAAGCAUUGCGAUGGCCGGAAACGGUGUUGACGCAAUGUGAUUUCUGCCCAGUGAAGAAAUUCAACCAAGCGCGGGUAAACGGCGGGAGUAACUAUAGCGAAACCAUAGCCAAUAACGGCAUGUAUGAUGGCCCCCUGUGCAUAAUGCAGGGGCUGUGGCGUAGCCGUGAAGGGAAAAAACAAAGCAUCAUAUCGGUACUAAGGAACCUGCUGGAAAAGUUACAUUCGGGUCGCGAUACGGUGAGUGGGCACAGGGUGAAAGACAGGUGACGGGCGCACCUAAAGUCGGCUUCGGUCGGGGGGUGUGGCCCUGAUGACCCAGUCACAAAGUAUCGGACCCCACGCAGCUAAAAGAGGUGGAGAAUCCCUCACUGGACCCGAUGAAUCUUUGCUCGAAGAAACUCCACACAAGAUCGUAGACCCAGGGAUUCGAGUUUCGAAUAGAAUGAGAAUGCAUCUCCUCAGCCCAUUAGCUGCGUUAACAAAUCAGGUCUCUAAAAUAGCAUGUCCACGCUUCACGAGGUCCAUAGUUAAACGUAAGGUCAGAUCUAGAGCAUUGAAGAGGGGGACGGCAUGAUCGCGUCUUGGGGUAUCAGGAAUGGCAUACGCUGCCUAGCAAUAGCUAGUUGAGCGACCACUAUCGAGUAGUACUGACUCCAACC
RNAcentral lists this ribosomal RNA (3430 nucleotides) under Pleurobrachia bachei. Its description in RNAcentral is "eukaryotic LSU rRNA". The stretch from base 350 to 3430 matches the Rfam family "Eukaryotic large subunit ribosomal RNA". The record is from RNAcentral. Lineage: Eukaryota; Metazoa; Ctenophora; Tentaculata; Cydippida; Pleurobrachiidae.